AGAGUUUGAUCCUGGCUCAGGAUGAACGCUGGCGGCGUGCCUAAUACAUGCAAGUCGAGCGAAUGGAUUGAGAGCUUGCUCUCAAGAAGUUAGCGGCGGACGGGUGAGUAACACGUGGGUAACCUGCCCAUAAGACUGGGAUAACUCCGGGAAACCGGGGCUAAUACCGGAUAACAUUUUGAACUGCAUGGUUCG
RNAcentral lists this ribosomal RNA (195 nucleotides) under Bacillus cereus VD115. RNAcentral describes it as "partial 16S ribosomal RNA". It matches the Rfam family "Bacterial small subunit ribosomal RNA", at positions 8 to 197 of the family's 1533-position model. Lineage: Bacteria; Bacillati; Bacillota; Bacilli; Caryophanales; Bacillaceae. The record is from RNAcentral.